Molecule: ribosomal RNA, 468 nt
Filed under: uncultured bacterium
Lineage: Bacteria
Description: partial 16S ribosomal RNA
Rfam family: Bacterial small subunit ribosomal RNA
Source: RNAcentral
GACGAACGCUGGCGGCGUGCUUAACACAUGCAAGUCGAACGGAAAGGCCCUGCUUUUGUGGGGUGCUCGAGUGGCGAACGGGUGAGUAACACGUGAGUAACCUGCCCUUGACUUUGGGAUAACUUCAGGAAACUGGGGCUAAUACCGGAUAGGAGCUCCUGCUGCAUGGUGGGGGUUGGAAAGUUUCGGCGGUUGGGGAUGGACUCGCGGCUUAUCAGCGUGUUGGUGGGGUAGUGGCUUACCAAGGCUUUGACGGGUGGCCGGCCUGAGAGGGUGACCGGCCACAUUGGGACUGAGAUACGGCCCAGACUCCUACGGGAGGCAGCAGUGGGGAAUAUUGCACAAUGGGCGGAAGCCUGAUGCAGCAACGCCGCGUGCGGGAUGACGGCCUUCGGGUUGUAAACCGCUUUCGCCUGUGACGAAGCGUGAGUGACGGUAAUGGGUAAAGAAGCACCGGCUAACUACGUG